Molecule: long non-coding RNA, 2062 nt
Filed under: Corvus moneduloides (New Caledonian crow)
Lineage: Eukaryota; Metazoa; Chordata; Aves; Passeriformes; Corvidae
Description: lncRNA (ENSCMUG00000005308.2)
Source: RNAcentral
AUUUUUUUCUUGUAAGCAACUACUACAAAUAGGACUGAAUUGGGAAAUUCAGCUCAGUCUUUUUAAAAUGUGUGCUAGUAUCAGCAAGGAUUUUGCUGAAUAAGCACUAGCAUAGCCCAGAGAUCUUUAGCUCUGAUGGAACUCAGCACACAUUGAGAUACAAAAGCAGCCCAGACACAAUUUUUCAGGAGCAGUUCUGUGUUUCAGCCACCAGCUCAACGAUCUGUCCUGGUUUGGGCAUGAGGGGAAACUGUCAAUAGUGAAGAGAUGCUAAAACAUUUUUCCUCUCUGGAUUCCACAGCUGUGGCCUUGGCUUGGAAGAGUCUCCAGGAAGCCAAAGCAGUGGUAUGUGCAGUUCAGGGAGCACUUGCUGUCACAAACCUUUAUCUCUUUCUGUCAGCUGCCUGUUCAUCACCUCCACGGCUUAAUUCCAUGGAAAUAUUGUAAUUGAAAGCAAUGUAAACCUGCUAUUUGUUUGUUCUUUCCCAGUGAACACAUCACCUCUUUAUUUGCUAAAUAACAAAGAGAGGAUAAGGGGAAAAGCAAAUAAUUUUACCCUAUUUCACAACACUCACAAACUUAAUGACAAGAACAGACAAAGCUUUGCCUUGCUUGUGGUUGAAGCCCUGAGCAGAACAACAGCUGGGACAUCCUCUGGAUUCUCCCUGUCUUAUCAUCCUCUUCGUGGGGAACAUGAUGGAGUUGUGAGCACAGCAGCUGCCACCAUAACUGACAUUCCUUGGAUAAAUUCAGGAUAUUAUCCAAAUCCACAGGGUGUUGCUUGCGCAGCAAAGACCUGACAGCAGCAUCCCACUGCUGGAGUUGCUCUUGGCUGGGGUCACUUCCAGCUUAAGCUGUCCUUAAAAACAUCAGUAAAAAUCUGAGGCACACAUACUUGCAAAGUGGCAAUAAAGGAGAGAGGUGAUUUCACCUCUUAUCCUCCCAGUCAAUUGCAUUCUUUCCAACUGUAGGAAAUACCACAUGGAACAUGCUCAGACAGGCCAGUAUUUACACAGUAACUAGGAGCUGCAAAAUCAAUCAGAGAAGCAGCGGAUGCCAGCAAAAAACUACUCCAGAAAUAAACCAAAACAUAUGUCUCCCUUCAAAAGAAAAAUCUGCCUUUUCACAGCUACAAAGGAUUGAAAACAAAUUUUAUCAUCAAACGUGGAGCUGUGCCAAAUCACAGGCAGCCAGAAGAAAGCUUUGGCACGAAAAGAGCUUUGAUGGCGAGAGGAACAAAGACGAAACAGCUUUGAGUGAGAAAAAGAGCAGUGAGAUUGCUCCAGCCCACAGAGGGGGAAGCUGUGCUGUUCUCUUCCCUGCUCGCUCACAGACCUGUUUGCCCGAGAGCCCUGCUGUGACCUCUGGCCCGUCCAGAAUGACCCCUCUGGCCCCCAGAGCAGCCUCAGGACCUUGCAGCCCUGCCAGGAAUUGGGCUGUGGAUGGCGAAGGCUCAGCUGGAACAUGGGUCCCUGCAAAGAGCCUGGACAGCCCAAGAAGGGACAAUUUCCUUCAGCAGGGAGAUUCAAGAGGAUUCCCAGUCCAGAAGGAAAAAUGUCCCUGCUCCCUGCAUCGCCCACUUCUCUCCUGUGCAGGGAGCAGCUCCUUCUCUGUCCUGUGUGGCAGCAGCACUCCCAUGCCCACGGCUCUCCUGCUUCCCACAUCCCACCUUUCAGCAGCCAGCAAGGCCAGAGAUCAGAAGCAGGAAGAGCUGUGGAGAAAAUCGCCCCAAAAUAAGUUAGAGCAACUCAAGAAGAGGAUCCAGGAGCAGAAGAGAAAGCAGCAAGCAGCAGCUCAAGAGCAGGAGCGCCUGAUUUUUGCUAAAGAGCCCCUGCCAAAGAGAGCCCUGAAAAGAAAGGUGUGCAGAGUGGCCUCUGCUCCUCCUGCUCCAGCUUACAGAGACCAAAGAGAGAGAAGCUCAGCACAGAGAAUCCAAACAGAACACCAGAGGCAGCUUUCAUCCACAUCCUGUGUUCUGGAGAAAGCAGUGGCAGGGAAAGGUAAGGCUGAAAACGGUGAGAAAUUACAAGGGCUGAUGGACAGAAUUGCCUGGAGCAGCUGA